Molecule: ribosomal RNA, 253 nt
Filed under: uncultured bacterium
Lineage: Bacteria
Description: partial 16S ribosomal RNA
Rfam family: Bacterial small subunit ribosomal RNA
Source: RNAcentral
GACAGAGGGUGCAAACGUUGUUCGGAAUUACUGGGCGUAAAGCGCGUGUAGGCGGCCCUGCAAGUCGGAUGUGAAAUCCCACGGCUCAACCGUGGAAGUGCAUUCGAAACUGCAGGGCUAGAGUCCUGGAGAGGAAGGUGGAAUGCUUGGUGUAGAGGUGAAAUUCGUAGAUAUCAAGCGGAACACCGGUGGCGAAGGCGGCCUUCUGGACAGUGACUGACGCUGAGACGCGAAAGCGUGGGGAGCGAACAGG